UAAUACGGAGGGUCCAAGCGUUGUCCGGAUUUAUUGGGUUUAAAGAGUGCGUAGGUGGUUUAUUAAGUCAGUGGUGAAAUCCUGCAGCUCAACUGUAGAACUGCCAUUGAAACUGAUAAACUUGAGUUUGGUUUAGGUAAGUGGAAUUUAUGAUGUAGCGGUGAAAUGCAUAGAUAUCAUAAGGAACACCAAUAGCGAAGGCAGCUUACUGGACCAUAACUGACACUGAGGCACGAAAGCGUGGGUAGCGAACAGGAUUAGAUACCCUGGUAGUCCACGCCGUAAACGAUGCUCACUCGAUGUUAGCGAUAUACUGUUAGCGUCCAAGCUAAAGCGUUAAGUGAGCCACCUGGGGAGUACGCCGGCAACGGUG
Molecule: ribosomal RNA, 373 nt
Filed under: uncultured Bacteroidota bacterium
Lineage: Bacteria; Pseudomonadati; Bacteroidota
Description: bacterial SSU rRNA
Rfam family: Bacterial small subunit ribosomal RNA
Source: RNAcentral